Molecule: long non-coding RNA, 636 nt
Organism: Cheilinus undulatus (humphead wrasse)
Lineage: Eukaryota; Metazoa; Chordata; Actinopteri; Labriformes; Labridae
Exons: 3
Source: RefSeq, a predicted model, not a curated record
CCAACCUUUUGCCCAGCCUGGGAAACAUCAGUGGAGGCUCGCUGGAAGAAAAUGGGCCAUUGUCAUGGAGAAACAACAGACUUCUGCAGGAACAAGAGCUUCAGCUUGAAGCUUUGCAAGAUAGAUCCCUACCUGAUGACAAAUGUGGAAUCUGGACAAACCAGAUGCUUUGCAGAUCUGCAUGCACUUGCAUGGGAUCAUCAGUGACUCUGUUGCAUUCCAUUGUCUGGCCCUGGUCCACCAUCAGCUUGGUCACUCCUCCCCCGUGUAGCCCACCAGUUUGUCAUAAAGCUGUACCUACUUGAUACCAAUUCAUUUUUUUCUCUGGCUGUUGUGGUGCACCUAAAAUUUUGCAGGUCACAAAGAGAACAACUGUUAGAAUGUCUGCUUAAAAAUUAACUUGAUUGUGUUUAUUUUUGUAAUUGUACUGGCUUAGAUGACAGAUUUGGCUUAUUUAUUAUAAGCCUUGGAAAUAAGAACACAGUAGUAAUAUGCCCAGCUAUGAUCAGCUGACAGCUACAUGAUCCCACCGCUCCCACAGCCAAUCACAGCUCUUUCUUUUAACACAAUGGUGUAUUUAGAUGUGACGUGCUUCUCGCUAAUCCCUGCUUACAUUAAUGCUGAUGCACCAUGUUG